GCGCGGGAGGAUGGACCGGGUGGAGCUGGCGGUUAGUGGGCGCGCGGGUGGAGCCUUUGGUUACAGCGGGCGCGCGGGUGGAGCUGGCGGUUACAGCGGGCGCGCGGGUGGAGCUGGCGGUUACAGCGGGCGCGCGGGUGGAGCUGGCGGUUACAGUGGGCGCGCGGGUGGACGGAGCAGGUUUGGUUCGGCGAGAACCCGGGGUGUAGUGAGCACCAAAGAUCUUAUAGCGGAGCAAGAUAGGCCACUCCUGCGAAAUGCAAUGGGCUGACGUGUAGUACGCUACGGAGCGGAACGUGGACAUUUUUUUCGUCCAUUCCAGUAACCAGAACCUACCCGACUCGCAGUGUAAUCAAUGUUGUGGGGGAACACUCCUCCAUUUCUGGCAGCUGGCAACAAAGUGGCAGCAGUUGAACGUCGUUCUGGAAAUCAGCAACUGGGAACACAUCUUGGGAUGUCCACGUUGCAGACAGUGCUAGUUCAUUUCAGUUGCUGGUGUCUCUCCUCUACGUUCCAAAAUGCUAAAGCAAAGCUAGUCUCUUUUUAAAAUUAUGAAAAA
Long non-coding RNA from Amblyraja radiata (thorny skate), 559 nucleotides. RefSeq lists it as uncharacterized. The record is from RefSeq and is a predicted model, not a curated record. The transcript has 2 exons. NCBI's taxonomy places the organism in Eukaryota, Metazoa, Chordata, Chondrichthyes, Rajiformes, Rajidae.